AAGUGGAGCAGUGGAUCUCCAC
RNAcentral lists this microRNA (22 nucleotides) under Daphnia pulex (common water flea). RNAcentral's name for it is "Dpu-Mir-1175_5p* (star (passenger))". Lineage: Eukaryota; Metazoa; Arthropoda; Branchiopoda; Diplostraca; Daphniidae. The record is from RNAcentral. RNAcentral also lists the same sequence under 1 other name.